GGUGGCUCAGUGGUAGAGCGUUUGCCUCACAUGCAUGAGGUCCUAGGUUCAAUUCCUCAGCACCA
RNAcentral lists this transfer RNA (65 nucleotides) under Dipodomys ordii (Ord's kangaroo rat). It matches the Rfam family "tRNA". Rfam says of the family: Transfer RNA (tRNA) molecules are approximately 80 nucleotides in length. Their secondary structure includes four short double-helical elements and three loops (D, anti-codon, and T loops). Lineage: Eukaryota; Metazoa; Chordata; Mammalia; Rodentia; Heteromyidae. The record is from Rfam by way of RNAcentral.